AGGCAUUCAGGCAGAGAGAGCAGAGCAGCGCAGCGCAGCUGGAGAGGCAGGAGACUCAGCCCGAGGAAUUCGCAGAUAAGUUUUUAAUUAAAAAGAUUGAGCAGUAAAAAGAAUUAGAACUCUAAACUUAAGCUAAUAGAGUAGCUUAUCGAAAUAAUACUUAGUCUUAAUAAAUUAAGAAGAUCUUAAGAGGUAACAUGAAGGCUUAUUUAAACAGUUCGAAAAAGGAAAUGAGAAGAAAAGUAUUUGUACUGUAUAAUGGAGGCUGACCAGAGCAGAUUAGGAGAUUGUAAAGGGAGGUUUUAUGGAGUUUUAAGAGGCUCAAGUUUGAAGGUCAGCCUUGUAGAUUAAAACGAAGGUUACCUAAAUAGAAUCUCAAUGGCAUUUAAAACAGUAAAGUUGUAGACAAUAGAUUGAAAAUGAGGUUAGGCUAGUAUCUGGAGAAAGAAGAUUAGAAAAUGGAAGUGAAAGACAA
This 475-nucleotide long non-coding RNA is filed under the name Mus caroli (Ryukyu mouse). RNAcentral describes it as "metastasis associated lung adenocarcinoma transcript 1 (non-coding RNA) (MGP_CAROLIEiJ_G0005280.1)". Lineage: Eukaryota; Metazoa; Chordata; Mammalia; Rodentia; Muridae. The record is from RNAcentral.